UUAGCAAUGCAUUUACUUCUAUUCACUUGCAAAGAGAAGUGAAUGUGUUGUUAGCU
Molecule: microRNA precursor, 56 nt
Filed under: Xenopus laevis (African clawed frog)
Lineage: Eukaryota; Metazoa; Chordata; Amphibia; Anura; Pipidae
Also listed under: 1 other name
Description: Xla-Mir-12483-P1_pre stem-loop
Source: RNAcentral